UUUUCACCGGAGGGAUUUGAUAGUUAACGGACGUUUCUGGACUGUUUCAGACGCAAGGAGAAUUUCUCCUGGUUGUAUUUGUUGUUAGAAUCAGCUUGAUAAGGUAUUGUGUAGUGUGGAAUCAUGGCGAUGAGGAGGAGG
This is a non-coding RNA of Camelina sativa (false flax), 141 nucleotides long. NCBI's taxonomy places the organism in Eukaryota, Viridiplantae, Streptophyta, Magnoliopsida, Brassicales, Brassicaceae. The record is from RefSeq and is a predicted model, not a curated record.